UGCCAGCCGCCGCGGUAAUACGGAGGGUUCAAGCGUUAUCCGGAUUUAUUAGGUUUAAAGGGUUCGUAGGCGGGAAUCUAAGUCAGUGGUGAAAUCUUGCAGCUCAACUGUAAAAUUGCCAUUGAUACUGGAUUUCUUGAAUUAGUGUGAAGUGGUUAGAAUGUGUGGUGUAGCGGUGAAAUGCAUAGAUAUUACACAGAAUACCAAUUGCGAAGGCAGAUCACUAACACUAUAUUGACGCUGAGGGACGAAAGCGUGGGUAGCGAACAGGAUUAGAUA
RNAcentral lists this ribosomal RNA (279 nucleotides) under uncultured bacterium. RNAcentral's name for it is "partial 16S ribosomal RNA". It matches the Rfam family "Bacterial small subunit ribosomal RNA", at positions 506 to 784 of the family's 1533-position model. The record is from RNAcentral.